Poecilia reticulata (guppy) is the source of this 546-nucleotide non-coding RNA. Lineage: Eukaryota; Metazoa; Chordata; Actinopteri; Cyprinodontiformes; Poeciliidae. The record is from RefSeq and is a predicted model, not a curated record.
UGCUGGUGUCUCAGUGUCUGUUGAGCAAUGGUGUUGCCAAAGAAACCAGCAACUGUUAAACAAUGCAGCAUUUUGUGGCCUUGGGAAUAAAAAAAUGGAAAUAAAGCAUGCCGCAGCACAUGCUGGAAAGUGAGAGGAAAGGAUCGAAUUUAAAUAGAUAUUAGAUCUACAAAAGAACAGAUUAACAACACUCGCCGUCUUAACACCCCAGCCCUGCAAACUGAUUGGCAGUCAGGCCUCCCACACAAACACAUCAGUGUUAAAACUGCUCACUUUAGUUUGGGCUGACAUACAACAUGGUUUGGAAAAAGACUUAUGACUGACACUGCAGCAGGGUGACUUGUCAGGGUAACACCAGAAGAGUGGCACAUAGGUGGGUGAAGCCAAGAAAAAAAAUGGGCGUACAAUGCAACUGAGCACCAGUUGUUUUCUUGUGCUUUUAGUUGUCAAUCUGCAGCUUACUGCAUGUAGGCUGCCAGUCUGCACAGCCAGCCAUACGCAAACAAAAGUAAAUGUCAGAUGAGUAAACCCUUGCAUUUUAAGUAA